GAUGAACGCUGGCGGCGUGCCUAAUACAUGCAAGUCGAGCGAACGGACGGGAAGCUUGCUUCUCUGAUGUUAGCGGCGGACGGGUGAGUAACACGUGGAUAACCUACCUAUAAGACUGGGAUAACUUCGGGAAACCGGAGCUAAUACCGGAUAAUAUUUUGAACCGCAUGGUUCAAAAGUGAAAGACGGCCUUGCUGUCACUUAUAGAUGGAUCCGCGCUGCAUUAGCUAGUUGGUAAGGUAACGGCUUACCAAGGCAACGAUGCAUAGCCGACCUGAGAGGGUGAUCGGCCACACUGGAACUGAGACACGGUCCAGACUCCUACGGGAGGCAGCAGUAGGGAAUCUUCCGCAAAGGGCGAAAGCCUGACGGAGCAACGCCGCGUGAGUGAUGAAGGUCUUCGGAUCGUAAAACUCUGUUAUUAGGGAAGAACAUAUGUGUAAGUAACUGUGCACAUCUUGACGGUACCUAAUCAGAAAGCCACGGCUAACUACGUG
Molecule: ribosomal RNA, 497 nt
Filed under: uncultured bacterium
Lineage: Bacteria
Description: partial 16S ribosomal RNA
Rfam family: Bacterial small subunit ribosomal RNA
Source: RNAcentral